GGCAAAAAGAUCGGAUUCUAUAUCCAGCAUGAAGUCCGGUGGUGGAAUUUCUUCCUCUUGUGGCUCAGAACUUGGGAUAGCUAAAGUAGAUGAAGAAUUUGGCAGAGUGUCUACUUCAGCUUCAUAGGUUUCAUCAUGAAGUGUAUUAUCCAUCUCAGCUUCUAGGAUUCUAUCUAGGAUCACUCUAGCUUCAUCAGUAGGGAUGCGAAAGAAAGAACCUCUAGACAUUGUGUGUAGCAUUUGUUUGUAUUUUUCUGAAGACCUCGAAAAAAGUGAAAUAAAAGAACAGGGUCUUCAAGAUUAAGGUUUGGACCAGAUUCUAAAAGAUCAGAAAAACGUUUCCAGGAUUUUCCCAAAGUUUCAUUAUCUUUUUGUUUAAAAGAUAGGACUUCGAGUCUAAGGUUGGCUAUACGGUCAAGGGAAUAGAAAUCUAGACAAAAGUUGGCACGUAAAACUCUUCAUUCACCAUGUUGUUGACUUACCUUCUGACUGUACCAUUGUCUAGCAUCUCCCCUUAAGGAAAAAGGAAAAAGCUUCCAACGUAAAGUCUUAUCAGAAAUGCCUUCAAUGCGAAGACAAUCACAUGUUUGCUCAAAAUCUCUAAUAUGAAGGUAAGGGUUUUCGUCUUCCUUUCUCGAAAAAGAUAGGUUUUGAAUCAUGGCAAUCAACCUAGAACUUCACUUAUACUGGGAUGUUUGGAUAGGCUGUGAUGAUUCCCAUGGUAAAAGGUCAGUUACUGAAGGGAUUGCAGACUCAUAGAUCGAUUCAGAAUUUUGGUUUUCCAUAAGGUAAGAGUAAAGAAAAAAAAUAAAGAAUAUAAAAGAUAAGAAAAGAUAAAAGUAUAGAUACAAGCUAGUAGUAAGACUCAGGUUAUCUCAGCAACCGUCUUUCUCCCCAGCAACGGCGCUAGAAAUGCUUGUUGAUAUUUGGGAACACAAUAAGGAAUUGAUCCGCAAGCGCACGGAUAUCGGUGAGCACUUCACCCGGGAAAUUGUCCAGAGUAUCGUAUUUAUUUUUUUACCACUAGGAGAAAGAGUGCAUCUGACUAACCGGUCUAUUACUACUAACCCUUUAGGCACAAAGAAUGUCUUUCGAUGUGAGUGAUAAAUAGAGAAGACUGCAACCGUAGUCUCCUUCGAACCUUGGUAAGGAUGAUCUACUGUUCUAUUGGGGAGGCUAACGGAAUCUAGACACCACAAAUGAUGUUCAACCCGCACCUAUAAACCCUAUCCUUCCUGCUAACGAGAUAUGGUCUGCAAAGGUAACUCAGAAUUGUCAUGUUCCUCACUACUACCACAGUCCAGCUAGUCAGGGAAUAUCUAUGAGUACCCCAGCCUAAACACCACGUUUACACUAGCAAUGAUUACUCUAAACUCUAUGCGAAG
Molecule: long non-coding RNA, 1385 nt
Filed under: Sorghum bicolor (sorghum)
Lineage: Eukaryota; Viridiplantae; Streptophyta; Magnoliopsida; Poales; Poaceae
Description: long non-coding RNA (SBIC_LNC008115)
Source: RNAcentral